CUGGAUGGGGUCCCCCUCAAGGUCCAGUAGGACCCGCCGGUUUCGUUGGUAGUUUUUGCAACUUUAUAGGCUCUUGGUAAAAUGUUCUAUAAACUCUGUUUUUUCACCUUAAUUUUAGACUUCUUCUAAUAUCUGUUAGUUAUGAACGCAAAAAAAGAAAGAAAAGGAAAACAGAACUUUUUAGGUCGAUUAAUUUUGCCUCUAAGUUCUAUAUAUAAUUUUUUUCCCCAUUUUAUUAUUUAAGCUUGAUUCAGUUGUUAUGACAUUUACCUUAAACUUGAUAUUUGCUAUUCUACAGCCUGAGCUUGUUUUGCUGCUGCUGGUUAUUACAAGACUGUUUUGGACGCCCAAUGGGCCCACCCGGGCCUACAGGACCUUAUGGACCACCUCCACCAUGAUCCAAUUGCUUGAUCCAAAACAGGAGAAAUAAAAUGGUCGAAAGUUUAGAGUUGUGAUUAUAGUUGUUUCCUUCUAUUGGAGCAAGCUCUCCUUUUUGCCUCUUGUGGUCUUCCACAUGUAUAAUUCUCCAAAUUCUCUAAUAUUAAGUAGUAGCUAUUUUGACUCACCCUGUAAAAAGUUGAUUUUCAUAAAGACAUUUGUUAUUAGAACCACACCAAAUAAUUGAAAUAACAACUUUAUAGCAACUUCAUAUUUUAGAUGCCAUAUGAUAGUUGCCUAAAAGGUACUCAAAUGCAAGAGAGAAUUCAAAGAAAGCCAAGAGACAGCAGAAAAUAAAACAAAAAGCGAACAUGAUAAGAUGAAUUCAUCAAACUUGAUUCAAGUAGCUUCUUUCAAGUAGCUUCACGUUUAGCACUAAUAUCUUCCUAGGAUUGUGGAGUUAAAAGGAGAGCAAAAUAAAUACACAAACAUCAUUUACAAGAGUAGCUUCUCUAGUUCUAGCAGAGAUGUAUAUGUAUAAGCCUGUUCUACUAAAUCAAGAAGAUUCUUCCUGUUCCAUUUGAGUAACUCUUCUGUGUGUCAGCUGAGGGCUCAUGUAUUCGAAAUCAUUUUCAGUUGAGAUAUUGGAUGAACUGGAAACUGAACUUGACACCGGAUUAGGACUGUUUACUUGACUCCUAAAGCUCUGAGAAGCAACAUGGUGGGUCGUCCUGGAUGCUUCAGGAGCAGGAUUUCCCUGAGCUUCAGCAGCUAGUCGUCGAAGAAGAUCCGCAACAGUUGGGAGGAACCUUGAUGAGAUGGAAAUAAGUCCAACAAGCUGCAGAAAAGGAAAGCUUAACUUCAGAGAACUCACACAAACUAGUAUCUCUUGCCUUCUAAAUGGAGGUGGGAAAUAAGCAAAAAAGUGUCUCAUUUAGAGAACCACCAAAAAUACAACAUUCUGCAGUACUAUAAAGGGAAAGUUCACAAAAAAGGCAUCCUUAAAGUACAUCAGACUGCAGUAGUAGUCAUAAUUAGCCAAUGCUUCUUCAACACCAAUUACAAAUCUUACUAUAAUUCUCUUACAUCUCAAUAUUCUCUAAUUUGAGAACCUGCUUCUCAAGGUUGUCUAAGCAACGGUUAUCCUGCACUUUAUCGAAAUUAUUGACUUGUGGAAAAAGGUGUUUUACCCACAUCUUAACAUUCUGAACCUAAGAGAGUUUGUCUUCUUAAGCUCAAGAAUCUGUUUCAAAGGGGCUAAGCGUUGAUCAGUGAGUUGAAGACAAAGUACAAAAUAAAUAACUAUGGCACUCGUACAGCUUUA
This 1702-nucleotide long non-coding RNA is filed under the name Nicotiana tabacum (common tobacco). Its description in RNAcentral is "long non-coding RNA (NTAB_LNC006293)". The record is from RNAcentral. Lineage: Eukaryota; Viridiplantae; Streptophyta; Magnoliopsida; Solanales; Solanaceae.